CUCUCUCACCCUACUCUAAUAAGGCUUUAAUAUCUGGAGCUCAUAGGUGGGAGAUAAAGUAUACAUACUCACAAGACAUUUAUUAUAUAGUCAAACCAUGGAUCCAAAGAAACAAAUCAAUAAGCCAAAUCAAGAUGUGCAUGUGUGGCGAAUGAAUAGUGUAUGGUGAUGAUGGUGAUAACAAUGGUGGAAGUCUAAUUCUACUUUUGCUCUUUUGAGGGGAUACAUACCUUCCUUGCUUUUUGAAACUUUAUGAGGAGAAUGAGAUGCUCUUCUUUUUCUUUUCUCUCAGGUGGGUAUCUUGUACCCCUAAUUCUACUGUCGGACACUUGUCCAUUUUUACCUCUCGUCUCACUUUUUCUUUUCUUUCGAGGUUCCGGGCACUUGCCCCUUUUUAUUUCCUCGUAUCUCUUUUUUCUCUCUCUUUUGUUAGAGCACUCAUCUCUUGAGAUAAUGUAGCAAGUGGUAGUAACAAGAUAACUGGAGCAUUUAUUUCACAAGAGAAAACAGAAAUAUUUUUGUUUAUUCUCUCCCGGAUUAGGAGUAGAAUAUUUUUGGGUGAUUCUGGAGAUGGAAAUGGAUGGAUAUAUGUGGAUGGUACUUCCGGAGUAGAAGUAGCAUAUAUGAGUGAACGUGCAAGUGAAAUCUUGAUUUAACCACAUG
RNAcentral lists this long non-coding RNA (663 nucleotides) under Sorghum bicolor (sorghum). RNAcentral describes it as "long non-coding RNA (SBIC_LNC007844)". Lineage: Eukaryota; Viridiplantae; Streptophyta; Magnoliopsida; Poales; Poaceae. The record is from RNAcentral.